CAUACACACAUAACCCCUGCACUCACACACAUAACCCCCACACACACAUAACCCCUGCACUCACACACAUAACCCCUGCACUCACACACUUUCACACACACAUAUGCAGUCACACAUAUGCACAGCACACACACAUCUCACAUGCACAGUCACAUGCACACACCCAAACACACUCACAGUCACACACACAUCCACACUCACCCAGUCACAUCCACACAUGGCAUGAAGUCACACAUACAUCCACACACAUUCACGUAUACUCACACAUACAUCCUCAGUCACACACACACACCCUCACACACACACCACACAGCCACACACAUACAUCCACAUGCAUGUACACUCACAGUCACCUACAGUCACACAUACCUAUACAUACAAAAUACACAGUCACACACACACACUCAUACACACACACACCCUAACAGAACGGCACACAUGACUUUUUGCUCAAAGCCAGCCAGCUCUCUGCAGCCUUCUGCUGCCUGAGCCUCUCAUCCUGGAGGGCGCAUCUCCGAACACCACAGUGCGGGAAGGACCCGGUGGCCCCCAUGGCAGGGGCUAUCCAGCCCCAGGGGAGUGGGUGGCAAGGGCAGAGUGAGCAGCUGCCCUACUUCCCAAGGGGGCCUCAAGCCCACUGGACGGAACAG
This 650-nucleotide long non-coding RNA is filed under the name Homo sapiens (human). RNAcentral's name for it is "HSALNT0156516". Lineage: Eukaryota; Metazoa; Chordata; Mammalia; Primates; Hominidae. The record is from RNAcentral.